RNAcentral lists this ribosomal RNA (468 nucleotides) under uncultured bacterium. RNAcentral describes it as "partial 16S ribosomal RNA". It matches the Rfam family "Bacterial small subunit ribosomal RNA", at positions 28 to 507 of the family's 1533-position model. The record is from RNAcentral.
GACGAACGCUGGCGGCGUGCUUAACACAUGCAAGUCGAACGGAAAGGCCCUGCUUUUGUGGGGUGCUCGAGUGGCGAACGGGUGAGUAACACGUGAGUAACCUGCCCUUGACUUUGGGAUAACUUCAGGAAACUGGGGCUAAUACCGGAUAGGAGCUGCUGCUGCAUGGUGGGGGUUGGAUAGUUUCGGCGGUUGGGGAUGGACGCGCGGCUUAUCAGCUUGUUGGUGGGGUAGUGGCUUACCAAGGCUUUGACGGGUAGCCGGCCUGAGAGGGUGACCGGCCACAUUGGGACUGAGAUACGGCCCAGACUCCUACGGGAGGCAGCAGUGGGGAAUAUUGCACAAUGGGCGGAAGCCUGAUGCAGCAACGCCGCGUGCGGGAUGACGGCCUUCGGGUUGUAAACCGCUUUCGCCUGUGACGAAGCGUGAGUGACGGUAAUGGGUAAAGAAGCACCGGCUAACUACGUG